This 273-nucleotide unclassified non-coding RNA is filed under the name uncultured fungus. RNAcentral's name for it is "partial contains small subunit ribosomal RNA, internal transcribed spacer 1, and 5.8S ribosomal RNA". The stretch from base 1 to 73 matches the Rfam family "Eukaryotic small subunit ribosomal RNA", at positions 1759 to 1831 of the family's 1831-position model. Lineage: Eukaryota; Fungi. The record is from RNAcentral.
GCAAACUUGGUCAUUUAGAGGAAGUAAAAGUCGUAACAAGGUUUCCGUAGGUGAACCUGCGGAAGGAUCAUUACUGUGGGCUGUUCUUCGGAAAGCCCGCGAGAUAGCACCCUCUGCUUUUUUGAGUACCUCUUGUUUCCUCGGCGGGCUUGCCCGCCAACGGGGACCUCAAUUCAACCUUUUGCAGUAGUAUGAAAACGUCUGAUAACAAUCUAAAUCGUUACAACUUUCAACAAUGGAUCUCUUGGUUCUGGCAUCGAUGAAGAACGCAGC